This is a long non-coding RNA of Phascolarctos cinereus (koala), 1547 nucleotides long. The record is from Ensembl. Lineage: Eukaryota; Metazoa; Chordata; Mammalia; Diprotodontia; Phascolarctidae.
AUUAGGAAGCUGUUGAAAUAAUCUAGAUGAGAGGUGAUGAGCGUCUGAACUGAGGCGGUAACUUAGUGGAGAGUGGCACAGGAGUGCAUUGUGAAAGCUGUCACAGAGGUAGGGAGAACAAGAUUUGCAAGUGGCUGGCUCUGUGGGAUGAGCAAGAGGGAGAAAUCAAGAAUAAUCCUGAGGUGGCAAAUGUGGAACACGGGAGGAUGUUUCUGCCAAGCUCUUAGGCAAAGAAACACGUGUGCAGAUCUGAGGAUGUUGGAAAUACUGGCACUAUUGGCUGAAACACGCCAUGAUGGAGGACAGAGGACAUUCUGGAAUAGCGAUGACGUUCUCCUUACCUGUCACAGAUGAGGCCUGAGAUCAGUGGCUUCAGUGAAAUCUUCCAGUAGCAAUUAAGAGCCCUCCACUUCUAAUGAAACCCUGUCUGUGUGCAUAUAGGUGUGUGUGUGUUUCUGUGUGCCUAUAUUUUCAUUUUUAAAUUGUCUUAGUGUCUUUUGAUUUAUUUUGUUUUAUUUUUAUUUUGUUUUCUUUUUUAUUUCACCUUCAUUUCCCAAUAUGUUCCUUCCCCCUUCCUGGAGAGACAUCUCUUGUAACCAAGAAUGAAAAAGAGAGGUUGGAAAAAGCAAUUUAGCAAAACCAGUUAAUACAGAAAUCAAGGCUGCUAAUCUAGGGGGUGAGGAACCCCUUUCUACUGUUAUUGCCACAAGCAAUGGGCCUUUUGAUCCAGCUAGUGAGGCUGGCUGGUAGGGGGACUGCCAUCACAUUCACCUGUUUGAGAAUGUCCCCAGCUGUGAGAGCUCUGAAAGGCACUAGCAACAAUGAGUCUCUUUCUUUGAAGGUUCCAAUCCCUUGGUCAACACUGUGGCUGGCGGGGCCUGGGUGACAUUUCCUGGACAAACACGAGGACUUGGAGCCAGGCCCAACACAUAACUCCUUGGGCAAAUAGAGGGCCCUGCCAGGCCUGCUAGUGUCCCCAGGGUCUGGGCACUCUCCCAGUUGUCAAAAGUCCAACAGGUUGACAAGUACACCUAAGUGUGUGCUCACUUUGUUGGAGUGUAGAUACCCUUUCCACUUACAGGCCAAAAGCCUUGUCUGCUUCCAACAUGUCUCUGUAGACCUGGCUUCUGGUUCCAACUCUAUUAGCUAAUUAGUGGUCUAAUUAGCUGCAGUCACUUUACUCCUCUGAUCCUCAUCUCUAAAAUGGGAUGAUUAGAUGAUCUCCGAUGCGUCUUUAAGGUCUAUUUAAAUGUCUAAAACCAAAUGCUAGGACUAUUGAUGAUGUAGGAAUGCUAAAAGUCAUUCCAAUCGAUCCUGGGGCUAAGCAAGGGUAUUCUCUCUACCUACUAGUGUUCGAAAUAGUUCUAGAAGUGUUGGUAUUAGCAAUAAGACAAGAGAGAAAAGUUGGAGGCAUAAACAUUGGCAAAAAGGAGACAAAAUUAUUAUAAGCAGCACUUGGUAUGAGUUUACUUAGGAAACUAUGGGAAAUCAGCAAAAAAGCUAAUUUAUUCAAUUAAUAAUUCCAAUAAAAGUCAAACAUAAAUCCA